CCAUUGCCUCUACAGCCGUGACAAGGCUCCCCACUUGAGCCACCCCCAUUCCCUGUCUUAGAGAUUCUAGGUAGAGGCUCCACAGGUGACCAUACCCCCAGCCCCUCAUUGUGGUAGAACCUGAAUGUUUACCUGUACCCAAACCCUAGAAUGAGAGAAUACCAGCUGUAACAUGUGCUAGUAAAGAGAAUCACGUUUAUUUCAUGUGUGUCUGCGGGGGGUGAAUACAUGCCACAGAGCAGAGGUGGCAGUUAGAGAGCAACUUGAGAAUUGGUUCUCAUCAUGUUAGAAGCAAACUCAGGUCAGUAAUACUGGCAGCAAGCCACUUUCUCAGCUGAUUCAACUCCCUGGCUCUGAUUAUACAUUUUGAGAAACAGAUACAGGUGAUUGUUGAUUUCAGACAGACUGUGGAAAUUGAAAGAUGAGUAAGUGACCAUGGCUUGACCCUGAUUUGUCUCCUGAAGAAAUAGCUCAUCUGACUUUGGGUCAGACUCCCUGAAUAAUUGCCAUACCAUCACCUUCCAAAAAUCAACUGUACCUUUCCUACCUGGAGUCUGCAACAAUACCUCUCAACAUCAAGAAAUGACUCCACAUCGAGCAGCUCUAUUCAACAUAACUUUAUAAAAUUUGGCUAUUCAAAAAGGGGGAAAUGAAGGAGAUUUGCUGAACUGACACCAGGCCAGAACAAUGCACUGGCCAGAAGUUUCUUGAAAACAAGAGGAUGUAUUUAGAGUUAUGGCAGACUACUGCCUUUACACUCCAACAAAUAUUCUCUUGGCCAGAAUUCAGGUUCUUCACAUUAUCUCUGGGAGAAAGUGCAAUCAGUAACAUACAAAAAUCUGUUCUUUGUCCAGCAAGAAAGAAGUGAACAAUAGAGAUUAGUGAGGGUGUCACUGCGGGUGUCAGGGAAGCCAACCACAGGAAGAGAUGAGAGUGAAAACCUGGCUCAGAUUGACUUUGUCAACCUGGAUCAGACUCUGGGGAGUCUAAUACCAGACAUCUUAUUGUAGACAUAUUUAAACACAGUAGAAUUUGGGAAUGGGUCUCUAUACUAACAAUAGUUCCCAUAGUCAUUCCACUUCCAGUUGCACAACAGAGCUUAAGGUGUGACUGCAGAGAAACACGAUUACAAAGUCCAUGUGACCAUGAGGGUAGGUUCUGUAUCUAAAAGUCCUAGAAUCUAAUGUGGUCUCUGAGAUAGCAUAGAGAUCAGCAGGCCAUAAAGUACAUGUGACAACUCCUCUAAAAUGGGUAAUGGUCUAGGGUCAGAACAAUCUGGAAAGAUACAAGCAUAACCUCACCCUGAUGUUAGUAGGACAUCAUUCCCUUUCCUUUGUUUUGU
Peromyscus eremicus (cactus mouse) is the source of this 1342-nucleotide long non-coding RNA. RefSeq lists it as uncharacterized. The record is from RefSeq and is a predicted model, not a curated record. The transcript has 3 exons. NCBI's taxonomy places the organism in Eukaryota, Metazoa, Chordata, Mammalia, Rodentia, Cricetidae.